GGGUAGAGCCGUUAGGGGAGUUGGGGCACCGCCCCCUGUCACGCACAGAGCAGGGCGGAUCAGGGGGUUUGGGCGCUGCCCCCUGUCAAGCUGCUCCAGGGGCCAGGAGGCCUCGCUGCUCCUCUGAUCCUGGUGCCGGGAGGCCUCGCAGCUCCGCUGAUCCCGGUGCUGGGAGGUAUGUUACCCUUUUACUAUAUAGGAUAGAGGCCUGGUGCAUGGGUGGGGGCCGGCUGGUUUGCCCUGGAUGGUGUCCUGUAUCAGGUUGGGGGUCCCGCUUGGGUGCCAGGCCAGCCUGGAUGAGGGGAUGAUGGCCGUUUGCAGCUGGUCACACCCCCUUCAGGGUGGGGGUCCCCACUGGGGUGCCUGGCCAGUCUGGGUGAGGGGCUGAGGGCCGUUUUCAGGCUGGCGGGUGACUGAAGCUCCCAACCUCUCCUUUUUUUUUUUUUUUUUUUUAUUCUGGGAUUUAUUUACCUUCUAUGGCUGUCACUGGAACUGAGAGCCGGCUUCAGCUCUGAGGCUUGGCUCCAGCUCUGAGGCCUCGGCUGCUGAAAGCAGAUAUCUGGUUUGUUUGGGUUCUAUAAUUGAAACUCUGUUGCAACUCCAGUUCGGCUGGCUGGCUGAAAGCAUGGGAUUUGUUUAGCUUCCAUAAUUGUAACAUUGUUGCUUAGAGUGCAGCUCAGAGCCCAGCAGCGGCAGGCGGGGAACCUUGGCUUCCUCCUUCACUGGAGCAAGCAAGCCUCCUGUUCACUUCAGCUGCCUGGCUGCCGGCCGCCAUCUUGGUUGGCAGUAAUUUGCAUAUCGCCCUGAUUAGCCCAUGGGAAGCGUGUCAGAGGUAUGGUUAAUUACCAUGUUUGUCUAUAAUUAGAUAGGAUAGUAAGUUCUUUUGAAACUUAGUGAAUUCACAAAAUAGUGAUAUACCACAUUCAUGGAUGUAAAGAAUAUUAACACAUUGUAUGCGGGAAACGUAUUUAUACGUUUUACGUAUUUAUACGUUCUACCAGUGUAGUAGAGCGCAGGACACAUAUUAAUACGUUUUUUAUAGACUAGCGGUAGAAUGCGGGUAACAUAUAAAUACGUAAACUAAAGUUAUCGUAAUUUUACCGAACGUUGCCAUUUGCACAAAAAAUUAGCAAAAAUGGCCUGUUAGCGCACGAUAAAAACUACCCGCAAACAAUGUGUUAAAUGCCUUAAAAAUGUUUGCAAAACAGAAGUUUAACAAUUCUAACAAGUAUAAUACCCUCAAGGAAAGUAGUAAAAAUCAAAAAGUUUUGAACAACAGGUCAGAUUUAACAAAAGUACAAUUAUGAGUCUUAAAAUGGGGGCUGCAAAAUUUUGCAUUAAGACAACUUAAAACUGUUUUAAAGAGCUCAUAUCUAAGGGAAAUAUUCAGAUUUAUUUUAUAAUGGAAGGACAAAUCACAAAAAAAUACAAAUAAUCAAAAAAAUUAAGUAGGCAAUUUACAAAACUAUGGCUUUGUUUUUGCCUCAUGAUGAGAAUUUGAAAAUAUUUGCAUCCUGCCAAGCCUAACUCUGCUGCCUUGUACCAGAUUCAUUUUUUACUAUCCCAUAAUUCCACAAUUGGAUAUUUUAAAUUCUUGGUAAAUGUUAAGUAGAUAGAAAAUAAGUCUAUAGAACAGGGGUGGGCAAACUUUUUGACUUGAGGGCCACAUGGGUUCUUAAACUGGACCGGAAGGCCGGAACAAAAGCAUGGAUGGAGUGUUUGUGUGAACUAAUAUAAAUUCAAAGUAAACAUCAUUACAUAAAAGGGUAUGGUCUUUUAUUUCAAUACUUUUAUUCAUUUCAAACGGGCCAGAUCCGGCCCGUGGGCCGUAGUUUGCCCACGGCUGCUAUAGAAGAUGUAACAUUUUCAACCAACUUGACCUAGUAAACAUAUGUAGAAUAUAUCACCCACCAACAUAAGAAGACAUUCUUUUCAAGUGCACAAAGAUUAUUCUCCAGCCCUGAUCAGUUUGGCUCAGUGGAUAGAGCGUCGGCCUGGGGAAUGCAGGGUCUGGGUUGACCACUUGCUUGUAUCCCUGCCAUUCAUUUCUGAAAGCUUCUAAACAGAAAAUUCAGUCCCGCCAGUAUGGCUCAGUAGUUGAGUGUUGAGUGUUGACCCAUGAACCAAGAAGUCACCAGUUCAAUUCCAGUCAGGGCAGUUGCCCCAGUUGCAGACUCAAUCCCCAGUAAGGGGUAUGCAGGAGGCAACUGAUCGAUGUUUCUCUCUUGGCAAUGUUUCUCUCUCUUCCUCUCCCUUCCUUUCUCUCUCAAAAAAUCAAUAAAAACAUAUUUAAGAAGAAAAAGAUAAUUCAGCCCUGGCUGGGUUGCUCAGUUGUUGGAGCAUCAUCCUGAUAGGCCAGAGUUGUAGGAUCCCUGUUCAGGGCACAUGCAGGAAUCAACCAGUGAAUGCAUAGAUGGGUGGAGUGGCAUCUCUCUCUGUCUCUCUCUCAUCCCCACUUCUCUCUCUCUCUCUCUCUCUCUAAAAAUCAGUAAAAUAAAAUAAGCCCUAGUUGGCUAGCUCAGUUGAUUGAAGUGUCUUCCCAGUAUGACAAGGCUGUAAAAUUGAUCCCAGCUUAGGACACAUAUAAGAAACAACCAAUUAAUGCAUAAAUAAGUGGGACAACAAAUCUCUCUCUCUCUCUCUCUCUCUCUCUCUCUCUCUCUCUCUCUCUCUCUCUCUCAUCUAUAAAUUUUGAAAACUAAACAUAAAUGAAUUAAAGAAAA
This is a long non-coding RNA of Myotis daubentonii (Daubenton's bat), 2723 nucleotides long. RefSeq lists it as uncharacterized. The record is from RefSeq and is a predicted model, not a curated record. The transcript has 2 exons. Lineage: Eukaryota; Metazoa; Chordata; Mammalia; Chiroptera; Vespertilionidae.